Molecule: long non-coding RNA, 1205 nt
Filed under: Equus caballus (horse)
Lineage: Eukaryota; Metazoa; Chordata; Mammalia; Perissodactyla; Equidae
Description: lncRNA (ENSECAG00000059375.1)
Source: RNAcentral
UGGAAACUGACCGUGCUUCAUUUUGUAAUUAUGCAUAAGCGGUCAAAACAUCAUAACUCAAUAUUAAUCAGAUGCUUAGCAAACUUACAAAGUUUUGGGUAUUCUCAGUAAGUGUAAUGAUGAAAAUUCAGUUUUGUCUCCUUGAUGUUUUAUUGCAUCGUGGUCUUAGACUUUGUGGCCUACUAUCUCUAUGUAAGAAUUAGCAAACACCCACCCUACAGACCUAGAGUUCAUAGUACGUAUGAAAAAGACCCCCUUAGCACAGUACCUAUCAAACUGAAGGCACUACACGGUUCAGUUUCCUCCAAAAGGAGGAAUUUGGCAAACGAAAGUAAACUGGCAUAAGGGGGAAGCUAGUAUAUGUCUUUUUAAAAUGGUCUACACUUAUGCUCAUUUGUAAUAUGUGAACAGUAACAAGUUAUUUGAGGACUUUCCCACUAGGGCGGGACAGUUAAGCCUUGAAUAGCAUUUAUGAAGUACUUUUGAGAACACAUAAAUGGGGGAAUUCUGUUUCUGCACUGGAAGAGCUUCAUUAUUAAAAACCAAAUUGGGGGGCCAGCCUGGUGGCCCAGCGGUUAAGUUUGCACCUUUUCAGCGGCCCAGGGUUCACCAGUUCAGAUCCCCCGUGCAGACCUACACACCGCUUGUCAAGCCAUGCUGUGGCAGGUGUCCCACAUACAAAAUAGAGGAAGAUGGGCACGGAUGUUAGCUCAGGGCCAGUCUUCCUCAACAAAAAGAGGAUUGGAGGUAGAUAUUAGCUCAGGGCUAAUCUUACCCCACCCACCACCACCACCAAAAAAACCUAAAACAAAUGAGAACCAAAUAAAGGGAAAGUCCAAAGUGUAUUUAUGCCCAAAUAAAGCCACUAUUCAAUAUGACCUUUGAGUGAAUGAGGACCCAGUGAUGGACCCAAAUGUCAGCGAAGAUGUCUAUCACGGUCUUCUCUUAUUGGGGAAGCAGCAAAAAUGAAAUUGGAGGAGAGUUCUGAGCUGCCCUUUCUUUCAAUCAUAGAUGACUCAGUGUGCCCACCCCUUUGCGAAAGCAGGUCCUUAUGUGCCAUGUUAGCUUUCUCCUUUACAAGGAGACCAGGAAUUUCAUGUGCAUUUAUGCUGAAUUAACCUGGAAUGUCUAAAUUCUUUAUAAAAAGUAACUUCUGUGUUCUGAAUACAUGUUCUUUAGAAAGUAAAAAAAAGGAAAGAUACCCC